GAUGAACGCUGGCGGCGUGCUUAACACAUGCAAGUCGAGCGAGAAGUUUUGAAAAGAUUCUUCGGAUGAAAUUUAAAAUGGAAAGCGGCGGACGGGUGAGUAACGCCUAGGCAACCUGCCCCAUACAAAGGGAUAGCAUUUGGAAACGAAUAUUAAUACCUUAUGAAACUUAACUAGUGCAUGCUAGGUAGGUCAAAGAUUUAUCGGUAUGGGAUGGGCCUGCGUCUGAUUAGCUAGUUGGAGAGGUAACGGCUCACCAAGGGGACGAUCAGUAGCCGACCAGCGAGGGUGAACGGCCACAUUGGAACGGAGGCACGGUCCAAACUCCUACGGGAGGCAGCAGUAGGGAAAAUUGCAAAAUGGGGGAAAGCCAGAUGCAGCAACGGAGCGUGAAAGAUGAAGACCUUUGGGUCGUAAAGUUCUGUUCUAGGAGAUGAAAACUGACAGUACCCAAGGAGAAAGCCCCGGCUAACUCCGUG
RNAcentral lists this ribosomal RNA (479 nucleotides) under uncultured bacterium. Its description in RNAcentral is "partial 16S ribosomal RNA". It matches the Rfam family "Bacterial small subunit ribosomal RNA", at positions 28 to 507 of the family's 1533-position model. The record is from RNAcentral.